Molecule: RNA transcript, 2120 nt
Organism: Paramacrobiotus metropolitanus
Lineage: Eukaryota; Metazoa; Tardigrada; Eutardigrada; Parachela; Macrobiotidae
Exons: 9
Source: RefSeq, a predicted model, not a curated record
AUAUUUACUGUUUUUUUACAUCCGUGUGUGUAAUGCAGUCGUGUAAAAAAUCAUGGCAUGCAAGUUCCCCAUUCUGCUUAUGAGCUAAUACGGUAUAUGAUUAUUGCCAACAAAACGUAAAUGAUGACAGUCUGCAUUCUGCUUGCGUGAUGUUGUACGAUUUGUGUAUUUGUAGUACUACCAGUAGCAUCACAAAUAAUUUUCCGCAUUCGAUGCCUUUUUGCAUUUCGCAGUUUCGCCGAUGCUCGAUUUUGUUUCGAUUAAGGCCAGAGCAGUUAUUUCAUUGCUGUGAUAGUGGGAAUUCUGAAUGAUACCAAAAUUAUUUCGUUUUGGAUGAUGCCGUGAAAAUCUGUCAGAAAUUCUACAAAUGGCGCAAACGUACUUCCGCUGUAACUGGCGUUGCUUCUUCAAGACUGAAAAAUGAUGCACAGGCAGCACAGCAACCCUUUUGCGGAGAUGGGAUCACUCGUUAUUCUUUUAAAGCAGCGUUUUUUAACCCUGAGCGUUCUAUUUAAUUGUGGCAGCUGCGUAAUUCAGGUCUACAGAUUAGACAACGGAACGGUUUCUUUGGAUUCGUCGACUGGUUAUACGAUUUUCAAUGAGCAGCACUCAGUUUUGGGACAACGGGAUAUCUCCGUCCCGAUCUAUUUGAGAACAGAAAAUGUGGAGCUUUGUAAGGCAACAGGACCUUCUUCGUUUCUCCCAUGGCGUCAUAUGUUUUUAAUAACGGAUGACGAAAUAUGCUCAACGAAAACAGGCAGAUCUCUACGACGCCAAUCCAAACCAGUUGGAGAUGCCCGAUUAAAUGAGGCGAAUGGAAUCUUCGGCAAAAUUUUUUAUGCUCAAACAAAUGGCUAUAGCGGCAUCAUCAUUCACCCCAGCCUGUCCAAAGCAUAUGGAGAAAAAUCUGUAAUCGACAAUAGCAUAGGGAACCGGACCACGUACCCCGCUGCUAUACCCAGUGAUAUUUUCGCCCCAAUUAAAAUUGACGUGCAUUUUGUCAGUUAUGAGGAUGGAAUGAACCUAAAGAAAUUUGUCUAUGAUGCCCGACCCUCAGCUACAACACAAUACCGCAUGGUUUCGGUAAACCGAACUCAGUACUACAAUUUGAUACAGUUGGUAUUUCUCUCCGGAUUCGGAUCGGACAAUGAAUCACCAGAAGUGCCAGAAGGGCUCUUUCCAGUUCUAACGUCACUGGGAUUGAAACUAAACACGACUAGCGGCAACUCGACUGCGUCCUUAUCCCAAGCCUCCAGUAGUGCUGGAUUGAUAGUUUGCGGAAUCGUGAUAGGAAGUCUUGUGUUAUGUUGUUGUUGCCCGUGCAUGCUGUGCACGGGCAACCUCCGCCCCUCUUCUGCUACAGAAACGACGCCAACACAACAAACUUCUGCUGAAGAAGCGGCGCCAGCACAGCAAGUUACAGCUCCUCAAACUGCUGGAGAUGCCGAGGUGGCUAGGAAUCUGGCUCAUCAGGAGCCUGUCGAUCAGACGGUUAUUGCAGCUUCAUUCUCUCAAGUUCGAUCAGAUGAAUCAGCUAUUAUAGCUGCCGGCGCCCCGCUGACAGCUCAGGAACUGCAGCAACUUUGCCAGAUACAUACCACCGAACCGACGGACAACGUGUGCCCCAUUUGUCAGCAGCUGUACAGCGUGGGCGAGUUGAUUGUCGUACUACCUUGCCUUCAUGCUGGACAUAACGCCUGCUUGGUACCGUGGCUGGCUACUUAUUCACGAAACUGCCCGUUGUGCCGAACUUCUGCGGCCGCGGGCGACUCCGUGUUGACCUAAAUCUUUUCUUUUAUUUCUUGCUUCAUUCGAAUAUGCUUAUUAUCAACUGUUACAGCGUUAAAAUCCGCAACCCUGGCUGGGCAUUGGACAUGGCUUCGAUUUGACUUUUGCAGCUUGAUAUUGGUACAGAUAUUUAGUAAACGAAAGCAUUGAAUGGAUGCGAGAAUGAACAUGGUUGGAAGAUCGUGCGAAGCCCCAGUCGCGUCCCAAUUGCAAUCGCGUUUUACAAUUACUCAACUAGGUGCACGAGGUUUCCAUUCCGGAGAUUUAUCCUCCAAUUAUACGCAUUGCUGCGUCGAUCCACGACAUCUUUUGCAACUUAGUGCAUCUACGGC